RNAcentral lists this long non-coding RNA (776 nucleotides) under Homo sapiens (human). Its description in RNAcentral is "LNC_000367". Lineage: Eukaryota; Metazoa; Chordata; Mammalia; Primates; Hominidae. The record is from RNAcentral.
CAUUAACUUAUUUACUGGGUACUAUUACUAUCUCUGUUUCUCAGAUGGGGAAGAGAGGCAGAGAAAUGCUAAGGAAUUUGCCCAAGUUCACACAACCAGUACUAGGCAAAUGGUAGGUCCGGGAUUAAGAUCCUGGGGAGGGGAGGUUGGGUAACCUAUAUCCUGCUCAGUGACCCAGAAUGGAAAAGAAUGAAGGAGGAGGAGUGGAAACAGAAGUUAACUUUUUUUUUGUAGAGGUGGGUAUCUGGGUUUGAGGAGAGAGAACAUUAAAAGUAAUGCUGGGAUUACAGGCAUGAGUCAUUCAGGCCGGCCCUGAAUUUUUCAAAGUUGCCACCACCAACACUUUGUUCUUAGUGUGUGGACAGUAGAGCAGGUUGAAGGGCCAAAAAACAAACAAGCAAGCAAGCAAACAAACAAACCAACAAACCAGCCUCAUUUCCUUGUCUCUGGUAUGUUGAGAAAGUGGACCCUAGAGUUCAGUACCACUCCUCCUACCUUUGAGCCCAACUCAUGAUUUAAGAUGUUGAAGUGCCCAAUAAGGACCACAUGGAAGCCUCCCUCAAAGAGUGUGGCACAUGCUGCAACCCAUAGGAAAGGGAUUAGAAUGCAGGUUUUUUUUCCAUUUAGGGAGGAAGGAGCAGGAAAUUUAGUAGGUAAGUAAAAGUAAGUACAAAGGCACAGCUACGAAGAAAAGGUACUUUUUCUGCAACUAGAUAUGCUACCACUAGGUGGAGCCAGACUCUCCUGGCAUGGAACUUUUUUUUUUUUUUUUUUUU